RNAcentral lists this ribosomal RNA (476 nucleotides) under uncultured organism. RNAcentral's name for it is "partial 16S ribosomal RNA". It matches the Rfam family "Bacterial small subunit ribosomal RNA", at positions 334 to 801 of the family's 1533-position model. The record is from RNAcentral.
CACUCCUACGGGAGGCAGCAGUGGGGAAUUUUGGACAAUGGGCGAAAGCCUGAUCCAGCAAUGCCGCGUGUGUGAAGAAGGCCUUCGGGUUGUAAAGCACUUUUGUCAGGAAAGAAAUCCUUGGCUCUAAUACAGUCGGGGGAUGACGGUACCGGAAGAAUAAGCACCGGCUAACUACGUGCCAGCAGCCGCGGUAAUACGUAGGGUGCGAGCGUUAAUCGGAAUUACUGGGCGUAAAGCGUGCGCAGGCGGUUUGCUAAGACCGAUGUGAAAUCCCCGGGCUCAACCUGGGAACUGCAUUGGUGACUGGCAGGCUAGAGUAUGGCAGAGGGGGGUAGAAUUCCACGUGUAGCAGUGAAAUGCGUAGAGAUGUGGAGGAAUACCGAUGGCGAAGGCAGCCCCCUGGGCCAAUACUGACGCUCAGGCACGAAAGCGUGGGGAGCAAACAGGAUUAGAAACCCUGGUAGUCCCAUGAU